Molecule: long non-coding RNA, 317 nt
Filed under: Vitis vinifera (wine grape)
Lineage: Eukaryota; Viridiplantae; Streptophyta; Magnoliopsida; Vitales; Vitaceae
Description: long non-coding RNA (VVIN_LNC001054)
Source: RNAcentral
CACAAAUGAAUUUUGGUGAUUACGAAAUGUUGCAUAGGGGUUAGUGAACAACGUUUCUGAAUUUGGUUAAUUGAUUAAUUGGAAGACAUUGUAGAGUUAAUUAAUUAAUUAGGAUCCAUUUUAUACUAAAUUAAGUGACCUAAGUCCUUGGUAAGGUCAAGUCACUUAAGCCUAGUUAAAGAACCCUAUAAAUACCCCCUUAGGGGUUAGGGUUUCAAGUUAAUCGUCUUCCACCAUCUAAAGAGAAGGAAAAAGACUCGGCCUCCACCCUCCCAAACCUCCUUACCGGUGGAGUGCCAAGAUCAAGGUAAAGUCAU